UACGUAGGGUCCGAGCGUUGUCCGGAAUUAUUGGGCGUAAAGGGCUCGUAGGCGGUCCGUCACGUCGGGAGUGAAAACUCAGGGCUCAACCCUGAGCGUGCUUCCGAUACGGGCGGACUAGAGGUAUGCAGGGGAGAACGGAAUUCCUGGUGUAGCGGUGGAAUGCGCAGAUAUCAGGAGGAACACCGGUGGCGAAGGCGGUUCUCUGGGCAUUACCUGACGCUGAGGAGCGAAAGCAUGGGGAGCGAACAGGAUUAGAUACCCCCGUAGUCC
This 273-nucleotide ribosomal RNA is filed under the name uncultured bacterium. Its description in RNAcentral is "partial 16S ribosomal RNA". It matches the Rfam family "Bacterial small subunit ribosomal RNA", at positions 524 to 796 of the family's 1533-position model. The record is from RNAcentral.